RNAcentral lists this ribosomal RNA (252 nucleotides) under uncultured bacterium. Its description in RNAcentral is "partial 16S ribosomal RNA". It matches the Rfam family "Bacterial small subunit ribosomal RNA", at positions 524 to 776 of the family's 1533-position model. The record is from RNAcentral.
UACGUAGGUGGCGAGCGUUGUCCGGAAUUAUUGGGCGUAAAGCGCGCGCAGGCGGGAUAUUAAGUCUGCUCUAAAAGUGCGGGGCUCAACUCCGUAGCGGGGUAGAAACUAAUAUUCUUGAGUGCCGGAGAGGAAAGCGGAAUUCCCAGUGUAGCGGUGAAAUGCGUAGAUAUUGGGAGGAACACCAGUGGCGAAGGCGGCUUUCUGGACGGUGUCUGACGCUGAGGCGCGAAAGCCAGGGGAGCGAACGGG